This 460-nucleotide ribosomal RNA is filed under the name uncultured Methylomirabilota bacterium. RNAcentral describes it as "bacterial SSU rRNA". It matches the Rfam family "Bacterial small subunit ribosomal RNA", at positions 977 to 1434 of the family's 1533-position model. The record is from RNAcentral. Lineage: Bacteria; Methylomirabilota (SeqCode).
GGGCUUGACAUCCCACGAACCUGCCCGAAAGGGUCGGGUGCCUCCAAGGGAGUAUGGAGACAGGUGGUGCAUGGCUGGCGUCAGCUCGUGUCGUGAGAUGUUGGAUUAAGUCCCGCAACGAGCGCAACCCUCACCCCUUGUUGCCACCGGGUCAUGCCGAGCUCUCUAGGGGAACUGCCAGCGUCAAGCUGGAGGAAGGCGGGGAUGACGUCAAGUCAUCAUGCCCCUUACGCCCUGGGCAACACACGUGCAACAAUUGCCGGUCCAAAGGGAUGCAAGACCGCGAGGUGGAGCUAAUCCCAAAAACCCAGUCGAAGUUCAGAUUCCAGUCUGCAACUCGACUGCAUGAAGGAGGAAUCGCUAGUAAUCGCGCAUCACCACGGCGCAGUAAAUACGUUCUCGGGCCUUGUACACACCGCCCGUCACACCACGAAAGCCAGCUGAACUCGAAGGGGCUGAG